RNAcentral lists this long non-coding RNA (1518 nucleotides) under Mus musculus (house mouse). RNAcentral's name for it is "Pvt1 oncogene". The stretch from base 44 to 200 matches the Rfam family "Pvt1 oncogene conserved region 1". The record is from RNAcentral. Lineage: Eukaryota; Metazoa; Chordata; Mammalia; Rodentia; Muridae.
ACCCGCCAGCCCCGCGCUCUACCAGGCAGAGCGCGUGUGGCCGCCGAGCACAUGGACCCACUGGUCAAGCGGGCUCGGCAAGGCCAGGAUGAAGAGAAGCUACGAACUUAGCAUUCCCAGAGCCCCCCGAGUGGAUAUCCGCGUGGAAAGGAUGUUGGCAGCCCCGGUGACCUCGGAGUCACGGCUGGAUCCACCCUCUUGUCUGAUUUUCUUAACUCUACUACGGUAAGAAGAUGCCCUCCAUCAGCAGGCCGUGUCUGCUGGGACCUCUCUGGAGACUUCCUGAACCCUGUGGAUUUACAGUAAGAUGCAGUUUCCUGGGGAGUAAUUCUGGUGGAUACAAAUUCCGGAGUAUUACACCUGGCUUGCCUGGAGAUGUUACAAGUAGCUGGAUGGAUUCUUCAGCCUGGAUGCCCACUGAAAACAAGGACCGAAACUAAGAGGAUUGUAUCUCUACCCUUGACUCAAUGAGAAUGUUUGUUGUCAUCUCUCGGGCUACCUGGAGCUCCCUCUAAAAUGGGCUGGGACACUGCCUGAUUGAGGUGGCCAUUGAGAAUUCAAGUGUACCUCUUGGUCCCUGAUGCAGAAAUGAAGUCCCCAGCAUGCUCAAGAAGAGCUUCCUUGGAGGAUGAGAGGCAUGGGAAUCUAAGUAUACCCUUUAAGCGUUCCAGAAGGAUUUUGAGAUCCUUUCCUAAAUCAAAGGUGGAAUAUUUGGGGAUUUGGAAAAUUGAGCAUUUUUUUCCCCACUUGCUUGACUGUAAUGCUAACAUGCUCUCUCUGCUCCAACCUGGAGAAGCCAGUCUCUCAGAAGAACCAGUUGUGUUACUUUGCUGUGAGAUGCCUGCCCUAAGAGAGGAGCAGAAGGUCGGAACGGGUCCUCUAAUGUGAUAAUUAGAUGUGAAGCGUUGACUUAAGAGAUGCCAAGUAACUCAGCAGAUGUCACACAGACGAUAAAUAGCAAAGAUGGAAGUCUUCAUGCCGGAGGCAAUCCUAUAAGACAGCUGAGUUCUGCAGAGCUGGAGACAGACUUGCUCAGGUGAUAGAUCCAGCCAUGAUACUGACCCUAAGAGAAUGAGACGCUCUGCAGAAGACAGAAGAUUCCUGAAACUGGGAAAGGUGCCUAGAAAUCCUGAUAAGAGUGAAGAAGGGUACCUGGAGGCACAGCAGCCAUGUUGAACCUAUGAGGUGAUGAAAAACCAUGCAACUAGAAACCAGAAUGGAAGAAAAGAAGAAGCUGGAUCCUUGACUGAAUUGUCGAUGGGGGAUAGUCCAUCAUCCCAGGGCUAAGACCACCUCCAGAUUUCUUGUUUGGUGAAACAAGUCCUGAUUGUUUACAUUCCCUCGUGUUGAGCUGUCUCUUGCUUGUAGCUGAAAGCAUUUCUAAUAGAUAUUCAGAUUAUCAGCCUUAGCUCCAAGCUAGAAUACUCUAUGGGACCUUAGCUUCUCCAUGAAUUCCUUUGCUCAUCUGUGUAAUGCUCAAUAAAUGUAAAUUGAACCCUGAAUGAGGGACAAUGACAC